Molecule: long non-coding RNA, 2858 nt
Organism: Pezoporus occidentalis (night parrot)
Lineage: Eukaryota; Metazoa; Chordata; Aves; Psittaciformes; Psittacidae
Exons: 3
Source: RefSeq, a predicted model, not a curated record
CGGGAGAAGGGGGCUCUUGCUGGGCCAGGCCGUGGUGAUUUCUUGUGGCUGACCCCAGUCACUACUUUAAUUAACGACCUGGACACAGGGAUUAGACUUUAAGCUACUGAAACUCAUCGAAGGCGAUAUUUGAAGACACAGAGUCAUCAGAGCAGUGCUGUAAAUGCAGGUUAAGGGUUGGACCGAUUCCUCAUCUUACACACUCUGAUGGCAAGAAAGAACCAGCUUAGUCUGAAAACUGAAACUGAAGCAACCCGAGAGUCCUGGUGUGCUCUUCGAUCUACUGUUCUUUCCCCACCAUCUGUUAUACUGAGAAAUGGAUCUCGUCCAAAAGGAUCAGAAAAGCUUCUCAUCAUCUGCUGCAUAUAUUCAUGGUGGGCAGCAAAAGGAUCUCUGAAAAAGAGAUAUUUUGCACAGAAAGUCAUCAGGUUUUAUUCCAAGCUACAGAAAAUUGCUCCAAAAUUGUUAAAAUGCAAUUUUAUUAAUCAUACCAUAUGGUUCUUUAUUUAAAUUCUGACUUUAACAGGACCCGACUGGGCAAUCUCCUUUUUCUCACCAACUCUCACUUCUUUCACUUCCCAUCUCUCACAUUGGUUGGAUGUUCUAGUUCUUUUGUCUUCUCAGCUGCCUUCAUGGCUUUCCUACACUCUUGUGUGUCCAUAUUGCUUUUUCUCUUUCCUCACCUUCUCCAAAAAAUAUUUCAGCCUUUGCAACCAUCUUUCACUCCAGCCUAUGUUUACCAUCUGCCACAAACUAUAAAACUGACCCAUGUUUUAUCACUACUUCUACCUCCAACCCCUGACAUUAAAAGAUUUUUUUUUUUUCCCCUCUCCUUUUUUGACUUCAAUCUCUCAAAGCUUACUAUGGUACUACUCACUGAACUCAUUAUGUCCCACCAGAUUUCAUCACCAUCACCCCUCAAAUUUUUUUGCUGGCCACUUCCAUUCUACUUCUCAUCCUCCUUGACCCACAUGCUCAAAAAUGUAUACAAUCCUCUCCAUCUCCAUCUCCUUUACUUUAGUCACCCACUAUUGUAUCACUUUUUACCCCCUCCGUAAAUCAUGUUCUCGUACCCCUUUUCUCUGCCUAGGAAGAAAGAUUCUUACUGGCUUUUUGCUUUCCUACUAGUUUUCUCCCUCUACUCUCUAAACACUCAGCCUCUGCUUCCAAAAACCUGUAGGUUUUUAGAACCUUCCAAGUAAUCCCAAAGAUUGGCUUGCAGGUAGAACACUGCUCAAGUUGCCCUCCAUUACUACUUCAUUCUUUGCAUUCUCUAAUUUGGGCAUGUGCUAAAUAUUUCUAACCAAAAAAAGAUCAAAAUACGAUUUUGCCAGAAGCACAAUACAUGAUCAGUACUGCUGCCUGUGGUCCAAGGCUACUUCAUACAAAAAAUACAGGUGAUUUCCUCCCUUCAUCUCCAGUCUAAUUUCCCCCCUUUGCUAGUCCACUGAAAGCCAUUUUAUUAACAAUCAUUUCCCAGGUAUGUUUACUUAGACUUAAUCGCACCUCAUCUUCCUUCCUAUCAAUUUCCUGGCACUCCCCAGACAGCUCACACCCUCAUUCUCUCCAGGACACCACAGCCUUUCCUGUAAAAUCUGCCUCUGUGAAGAAGACCUUCAGGUUGUUCCUCUGACUUUAACAGCCAAUCAUCUCUUUCAAGUCUCUUGAACAGCUUUUCUAUUCUCUCCUCCCUUAUCUUCAGUCCUAUGAAAACUAAUUUCCAUGCCAUGUGGCCACUUUGAUCUCUCCACUAUAUACUCUCUUCUUGUGCCAGAGUUGCACUAAAAGGUGCAAAGAAAUAGGGCUACAAAUGUAUGCUGGAUUAAUUUUCAAACAAGAUUUUUUAACACAAUAUCCCUUUAAGCUAUGCCCAUACUUAACUCACUUCAAUGCAAAGGGACCUGUAUAGAAGUAGUUUUACCACUGUCAUUAAGCAGACCCUAAUCUACCCCACUCACAUGACAACCAGCUUUAACUUCAGCCCUAGCGUGAUAAGCAGCUUGCACACAGCAAGUGUCCCCUCACAUUUCACAGGAUGAAGAACAGAUGGAAAAAGUCACUGCACGAGCCAAGAUGAGGGAAGCACACAAGCACUACACUGCAGUAGACAUGUACUUCCAGCAAAUCUCUUCUGACACCACAAACUUCAGACAGGUUUGGUUAUCAAAACUCAAACUGUAUUCCAUCAGUAAUAUAUAUAUAACAAAAUUUCUCUCCAGUCUCUUCCAGUUCAAAAGGACACUCAAGUUAUCUACAACACAUCAUAAGCAAAAUAAGAUUUCAUGGACUGAAUGUAGACAAGAAAACUUGGUUUAAUUUAAUGUGCAUAACAUACUGUAAUACACCUCAUCUGACAAAAUAAUGCUUCAUACCUUGUGAAAUUGUCCUUUUUGCAUUAUUUCAGUUUCUCUGGCAACUUCUCUUGGCCAUUCAUGCUCCACUACAUCUAAUUGAUACACUUAUACCUGCAUCUAAAACUGGGGUUUUAUGGUUUUUUGUUGUUUUUUUUUGUUGUUUUUUUAAUGAAGGUCUGUGAAGCAAUUCAGAAAUACAGCUUCUUACUAUCAGAGACAGGGAAGUAAGAGAUACACUGUGACAGAUUCAGGAACAGAAGUGAAGCCUCCCAGUUCCCCAGGGACAUUUUAGGGAGCUAUUCAUAAAAAGAUCUAGUGUUGUCAAGCUUCGAAACAAAUGCUACAAUUCUGAUAUGCUCUAGAGUAGGGCAAAACCAAUGAGAAGUCAACAGAGAAUCUGUCUGGAAAACAUAUGUCCUGGUACAGUGUAAGUCAGCAUGUGUUUCUGGUCAGUUUAAAAAUCAGUGUCCUAGAACAAUAAAUUCAGUUUGUUAUUUUUGAAAA